This 425-nucleotide ribosomal RNA is filed under the name uncultured bacterium. RNAcentral's name for it is "bacterial SSU rRNA". It matches the Rfam family "Bacterial small subunit ribosomal RNA", at positions 355 to 772 of the family's 1533-position model. The record is from RNAcentral.
UGGGGAAUUUUGCGCAAUGGGCUAACGCCUGACGCAGCAACGCCGCGUGGAGGAUGAAGGUCUUUGGAUUGUAAACUCCUGUCAGCGGGGAAAAAGCGACUUGGUCUAAUACGCCAGGGAGUUGAUUGUACCCGCAGAGGAAGCCCCGGCUAACUCUGUUCCAGCAGCCGCGGUAAUACAGAGGGGGCAAGCGUUAUUCGGAAUUAUUGGGCGUAAAGGGCGCGUAGGCGGCUUUGCAAGUGGCGGGUGAAAUCCCUCGGCUUAACCGAGGAACUGCCUGCCAGACUGUGAGGCUUGAGACCGGGAGAGGUGAGUGGAAUUCCCAGUGUAGCGGUGAAAUGCGUAGAUAUUGGGAGGAACACCAGUGGCGAAGGCGGCUCACUGGACCGGAACUGACGCUGAUGCGCGAAAGCGUGGGGAGCAAA